GAUGAACGCUGGCGGCGUGCCUAAUACAUGCAAGUCGAGCGAACAGACGAGGAGCUUGCUCCUCUGACGUUAGCGGCGGACGGGUGAGUAACACGUGGAUAACCUACCUAUAAGACUGGGAUAACUUCGGGAAACCGGAGCUAAUACCGGAUAAUAUAUUGAACCGCAUGGUUCAAUAGUGAAAGACGGUUUUGCUGUCACUUAUAGAUGGAUCCGCGCCGCAUUAGCUAGUUGGUAAGGUAACGGCUUACCAAGGCAACGAUGCGUAGCCGACCUGAGAGGGUGAUCGGCCACACUGGAACUGAGACACGGUCCAGACUCCUACGGGAGGCAGCAGUAGGGAAUUUUCCGCAAUGGGCGAAAGCCUGACGGAGCAACGCCGCGUGAGUGAUGAAGGUCUUCGGAUCGUAAAACUCUGUUAUUGGGGAAGAACAAAUGUGUAAGUAACUAUGCACGUCUUGACGGUACCUAAUCAGAAAGCCACGGCUAACUACGUG
RNAcentral lists this ribosomal RNA (497 nucleotides) under uncultured bacterium. RNAcentral's name for it is "partial 16S ribosomal RNA". It matches the Rfam family "Bacterial small subunit ribosomal RNA", at positions 28 to 507 of the family's 1533-position model. The record is from RNAcentral.